This 465-nucleotide ribosomal RNA is filed under the name uncultured bacterium. RNAcentral's name for it is "partial 16S ribosomal RNA". It matches the Rfam family "Bacterial small subunit ribosomal RNA", at positions 338 to 795 of the family's 1533-position model. The record is from RNAcentral.
CCUACGGGAGGCAGCAGUAGGGAAUUUUCGUCAAUGGGCGCAAGCCUGAACGAGCGAUGCCGCGUGAGUGAAGAAGGCCUUCGGGUCGUAAAGCUCUGUUGCGGGGGAAAAAAGGCAGCAUGAGGAAAUGGGUGCUGACUGAUGGUGCCCCGCCAGAAAGUCACGGCUAACUACGUGCCAGCAGCCGCGGUAAUACGUAGGUGGCGAGCGUUAUCCGGAAUGAUUGGGCGUAAAGGGUGCGCAGGCGGUCCGGCAAGUCUGGAGUGAAACGCAGGGGCUCAACCCAUGCAUGGCUUGGGAAACUGGAGGACGGGAGAGCAGGAGAGGGCGGUGGAACUCCAGGUGUAGCGGUAAAAGGCGUAGAUAGAUGGAAGAACACCAGUGGCGAAGGCGGCCGCCUGGCCGGUUGCUGACGCUGAGGCACGAAAGCGUGGGGAGCAAAUAGGAUUAGAUACCCGAGUAGUC